Molecule: long non-coding RNA, 1202 nt
Filed under: Brassica napus (rape)
Lineage: Eukaryota; Viridiplantae; Streptophyta; Magnoliopsida; Brassicales; Brassicaceae
Description: long non-coding RNA (BNAP_LNC017814)
Source: RNAcentral
UGCUUUCAAGUGUUUAAUAUUGGAAAACAAUUUAUAGAUUGUAUUUGGGUUUAUAGGUUCAUGCUUAGGGUUUAGAUUUACUAAGUAAAGGUUUGGGUAUAGUAAACCAUAUUAUAUACAUUCUAUUUGGGUUUAUACUUCCUUGAUUAGGGUUUAGCUUAAUCUAUUUAUUUAGGUUUAGGGUUUAUGGUAUAUUUGGAUUAGGGUUUAUGGUAUAUUUGGAUUAGGGUUUAGUGAUUAGAAUGUAAGGUUUAGUAUUUAGAAGGUGAGGGGGUAUGGUUGGGAUGAGCAUUAACUUCUUUCAUGCAAUCAUAGAUAUUUUAUAGUUUCACCAAUAUGUACUAUGUUAUUUAUUUUGUUUCAUUCUAUUUGGGUUUUGUGUUUAUAUUUGGGUUUAUGAAGGCAUAGCCAUAUCAACAUUUGAGAAAUAUGGUAUUUUGUUCCAUUCUAUUUGGGUUUAGGGUUUAUACUUGGGUUUAGGGUUUAAUAAUUAAGAUUUAUGGUUUAUUAUUUGGAAGGUAGGGUUGAGAUUUGAGUUUAGUGAUCCUAUCAUUAUCGUUCCAUUUCUCGAUUAAUAAAGAGUGUUCUAUUUUGUUCCCCAAUAUGUAUUAUACUAUGUAUUUUGUUCCAUUCUAUUUGAGUUUAGGGUUUAGUAAUUAGGAUUUAGGGUUUAGUAUUUGAAAAAUAUAAGUUGAGGUUUGGGUUUAGUAAUUAGGAUUUAGGGUUUAGUAUUCAAAAGUUAGGUCUGUAAUUAGGAUUUAGAAGUUGUGUGUUGGGUUAGAGCCCUGCACUAUUUAAAAGUUAGGCCAGGAUUUAGUUUAAUAUUAUAAUAUUUUCAUAUUUUGAUAAUUGAGUUUAGGGCUGAUAAUUAAGGUUUAUAUUUGAGUUUAAUAUUUUAAAGUUUGGUUUGUGUUUAGUAUUUAAAAGUUGUGUAUUGGGUUAAUAUGGAAUGCAUUCUUCAUUGAAAAGUCUUAUAUUUUAUCUAUUCAUUUUAGUGUCAUUUAGUCACCUAAUUAUAGUUUAUAUUUGGAUUAUGAUUUAUGAUUCAGUAUUUAGAAGUUGAGAUAGUGUUUAAUAUUUAAGGAUUAUGGAAGUGGUUUUAGUCCUUCUAUACUACUUCGUGUGGUAUGGAAUAUAAUAUUCAGUACAUACAUAUGUGGUCAAUAAAUAUGUAACGUGGAUGUCUCUUUUUUUCUCCACUC